GAGCGAGGCCAGGUAGCAAUACCCGAGUCGAGCGGCAGACGGGUGAGUAACACGUGGGUGACCUACCUCGAGGUGGGGGAUAACCCGGGGAAACUCGGGCUAAUACCGCAUAACAUCGUGAGAUCAAAGCGGCCCGCAAGGGUCGCGCCGUGAGAGGGGCCCGCGUCUGAUUAGCUAGUUGGUGAGGUAACGGCUCACCAAGGCGACGAUCAGUAGCCGGCCUGAGAGGGCGAUCGGCCACACUGGAACUGAGACACGGUCCAGACUCCUACGGGAGGCAGCAGUGGGGAAUUUUGCGCAAUGGGGGAAACCCUGACGCAGCAACGCCGCGUGGAGGAUGAAGGUCCUUGGAUUGUAAACUCCUGUCAGCAGGGAAGAACUCCUUACGGUGAAUAACCGUAAGGAUUGACGGUACCUGCAGAGGAAGCCCCGGCUAACUCUGUGCCAGCAGCCGCGGUAAUACAGAGGGGGCAAGCGUUAUUCGGAAUUAUUGGGCGUAAAGGGCGCGUAGGCGGCUUCGCAAGUGGUGGGUGAAAUCCCUCGGCUUAACCGAGGAACUGCCCUCCAAACUGCGUUGCUGGAGUCCGGGAGAGGUGAGUGGAAUUCCCAGUGUAGCGGUGAAAUGCGUAGAUAUUGUGAGGAACACCAGUGGCGAAAGCGGCUCAUUGGACCGGAACUGACCUGAGGCGCGAAAGCGUGGGGAGCAACGGGAUUAAAUACCCCGGUAGUCCCUCCAUAGCGAUAACUGCUUGGUGUACCGUGUAUCGACCCCUGCUGUGCUAAUUCCCACGUUACCCCUCUUCCGGCGAGUACGGUCUACAUGCUCAACUCUAUGAAUUGACGGGG
RNAcentral lists this ribosomal RNA (846 nucleotides) under uncultured Acidobacteriota bacterium. RNAcentral describes it as "bacterial SSU rRNA". It matches the Rfam family "Bacterial small subunit ribosomal RNA", at positions 64 to 918 of the family's 1533-position model. Lineage: Bacteria; Pseudomonadati; Acidobacteriota. The record is from RNAcentral.